CGGGGCGUAGCGCAGGCCGGCAGCGCACCUGCUUUGGGAGCAGGGGGUCACAGGUUCAAAUCCUGUCGCCCCGA
This 74-nucleotide transfer RNA is filed under the name Marinithermus hydrothermalis DSM 14884. It matches the Rfam family "tRNA". Rfam says of the family: Transfer RNA (tRNA) molecules are approximately 80 nucleotides in length. Lineage: Bacteria; Thermotogati; Deinococcota; Deinococci; Thermales; Thermaceae. The record is from Rfam by way of RNAcentral.